This 468-nucleotide ribosomal RNA is filed under the name uncultured bacterium. RNAcentral describes it as "partial 16S ribosomal RNA". It matches the Rfam family "Bacterial small subunit ribosomal RNA", at positions 28 to 507 of the family's 1533-position model. The record is from RNAcentral.
GACGAACGCUGGCGGCGUGCUUAACACAUGCAAGUCGAACGGAAAGGCCCUGCUUUUGUGGGGUGCUCGAGUGGCGAACGGGUGAGUAACACGUGAGUAACCUGCCCUUGACUUUGGGAUAACUUCAGGAAACUGGGGCUAAUACCGGAUAGGAGCUCCUGCUGCAUGGUGUGGGUUGGAAAGUUUCGGCGGUUGGGGAUGGACUCGCGGCUUAUCAGCUUGUUGGUGGGGUAGUGGCUUACCAAGGCUUUGACGGGUAGCCGGCCUGAGAGGGUGACCGGCCACAUUGGGACUGAGAUACGGCCCAGACUCCUACGGGAGGCAGCAGUGGGGAAUAUUGCACAAUGGGCGGAAGCCUGAUGCAGCAACGCCGCGUGCGGGAUGACGGCCUUCGGGUUGUAAACCGCUUUCGCCUGUGACGAAGCGUGAGUGACGGUAAUGUGUAAAGAAGCACCGGCUAACUACGUG